CACGUAGGGGGCAAGCGUUGUCCGGAUUUAUUGGGCGUAAAGAGCUCGUAGGCGGUUCGGUAAGUCGGGUGUGAAACCUCCAGGCUCAACCCUGGAGACGCCACCCGAUACUGCUGUGACUAGAGUCCGGUAGGGGAGCGUGGAAUUCCUGGUGUAGCGGUGAAAUGCGCAGAUAUCAGGAGGAACACCAGCGGCGAAGGCGGCGCUCUGGGCCGGAACUGCGCUGAGGAGCGAAAGCGUGGGGAGCAAACAGG
This 254-nucleotide ribosomal RNA is filed under the name uncultured bacterium. RNAcentral describes it as "partial 16S ribosomal RNA". It matches the Rfam family "Bacterial small subunit ribosomal RNA", at positions 524 to 776 of the family's 1533-position model. The record is from RNAcentral.